RNAcentral lists this ribosomal RNA (421 nucleotides) under uncultured bacterium. RNAcentral describes it as "partial 16S ribosomal RNA". It matches the Rfam family "Bacterial small subunit ribosomal RNA", at positions 362 to 774 of the family's 1533-position model. The record is from RNAcentral.
UCUUCCGCAAUGGACGAAAGUCUGACGGAGCGACGCCGCGUGAGUGAUGAAGGUAUUCGGGUCGUAAAACUCUGUUGUUAGGGAAGAACAAGUACGGGCCGAAUAGGUAAGUACCUUGACGGUACCUAACCAGAAAGCCCCGCCUAACUACGUCCCAGCAGCCGCGGUAAUACGUAGGGGGCAAGAGGUGUCCGGAAUUAUUGGGCGUAAAGGGCGCGCAGGCGGUCUUUUAAGUCUGAUUUUAAAUCUCGUAGCUUAACUACGAGCGGUCAUUGGAAACUGGAAGACUUGAGGACAGAAGAGGAGAGUGAAAUUCCACGUGUAGCGGUGAAAUGCGUAGAGAUGUGGAGGAACACCAGUGGCGAAGGCGACUCUCUGGUCUGUAACUGACGCUGAGGCGCGAAAGCGUGGGGAGCGAACA